Molecule: long non-coding RNA, 501 nt
Organism: Oncorhynchus tshawytscha (Chinook salmon)
Lineage: Eukaryota; Metazoa; Chordata; Actinopteri; Salmoniformes; Salmonidae
Source: Ensembl
GGCUCCAGAGGGACAGUGAGAGGAGGUCCGCAGGCAGAGACAAAGCAGCAGUCAGUGGACAGACAGGAACUCACUGACAGGCUCUGUCUGUCUUCUGAGGGGACAGAAUCUCUUGAGGACAGUCCCAGACAGCCUGAGCUCCCAGCCAAGGCCAAAUGGACCAGUGAGGUGUCAGAGUUGGUGGCCAGGAUGACCCGGGGGCGUCUGGGGGUGGCUGUGGGCCCCCCUGCCAGCAGUGACAGUGAGGAGAUGGAGGACAGACAGGGGUUUGGGCGAGUGUUGGAACCGCCCAGACCCAGACAGGACCCCCUGGGGCGCAGUGACAACGGCUACAGGUCCUCUCCAGACCCUGCCUCAAAGCCACAGAAAGCUGCAGCUAAGGCCCUCGAAAGCAGCUCUGAGCUGGAGCAGAUCUUCAAAAGCUUUGCAGGUGUCCAGAGUGAGAGUGAAGAGGAUGCAGAUUUCCACACAGUGAAUCGCUCCUUCAAUAUGACAUGUGGG